Molecule: ribosomal RNA, 397 nt
Filed under: uncultured bacterium
Lineage: Bacteria
Description: bacterial SSU rRNA
Rfam family: Bacterial small subunit ribosomal RNA
Source: RNAcentral
AACGAACGCUGGCGGCGCGCCUAAUACAUGCAAGUCGAGCGAGAAGACGUAGCAAUACGUUUGUAAAGCGGCGAACGGGUGAGGAAUACAUGGGUAACCUACCCUCGAGUGGGGAAUAACUAGCCGAAAGGUUAGCUAAUACCGCGUACGCUCCUUGGACUUCGGUUCAGGGAGGAAAGCGAUACCGUGGGUAUCGCGCUCUUGGAUGGGCUCAUGUCCUAUCAGCUUGUUGGUGAGGAACGGCUCACCAAGGCUUCGACGGGUAGCUGGUCUGAGAGGACAAUCAGCCACACUGGCACUGCGACACGGGCCAGACUCCUACGGGAGGCAGCAGUGGGGAAUAUUGGACAAUGGGCGCAAGCCUGAUCCAGCCAUGCCGCGUGAGUGAUGAAGGCCU